This is a long non-coding RNA of Homo sapiens (human), 239 nucleotides long. NCBI's taxonomy places the organism in Eukaryota, Metazoa, Chordata, Mammalia, Primates, Hominidae. The record is from Ensembl.
GGCUCAAGCAAUCCUCCUGCCUAAGCUUCCUGAGAAGUGGGGACCACAGUUUUCCUGAAUGUGUCCAAUUUGCACCAUCUCUCCCACAGAGGACAAAUAAAAAAAUCUCGCAUUACUUAAGAAUUAUUUCGUGGCGUGUGUCUCUCCAGACUUUUGUUAUGGUGUCACUACUUGCAAGCUGUGAGUCUGUUUUGAGAACUCUCUCCAUCUCUCCAAAUAAAAACAUAUCAGAACAGUGA